UACGACCAAAUCACGCUGAAAUACCUAUUUUCGUACGAUCACCGAAGUUAAGCAACGGCGAGCUUUUUCAGUACUUAGAUGGGUGACCGCUCGUGAAUACCAUUUGCUGUAAG
This is a non-coding RNA of Acanthosepion pharaonis, 113 nucleotides long. The record is from the annotation of a GenBank genome assembly. Lineage: Eukaryota; Metazoa; Mollusca; Cephalopoda; Sepiida; Sepiidae.